This is a long non-coding RNA of Electrophorus electricus (electric eel), 553 nucleotides long. RefSeq lists it as uncharacterized. The record is from RefSeq and is a predicted model, not a curated record. NCBI's taxonomy places the organism in Eukaryota, Metazoa, Chordata, Actinopteri, Gymnotiformes, Gymnotidae.
CUUCAUGGGUAGAAAGGCACUUAAAAGUAAGAGACAUAUGAGCCAGCAAAAUAGACUGAGCGACGGAGCUACUGUGGAGCUACGUGAAGGAAAGCAGGAGUAAUAUUUUGAGUUCGCGGCUUUGUUGCAUCCUACUUUACAGCAUGGGAGCAAGAAUAAAGUGAGGAAGUGAAAAGGAAAACAAACCUCGGUCUCAGCGUUAUGACCCCAUCCAGCCUGUGAAGUCGCAACAGGGGCAGUCGAGAUGGGUCCAAGCUGUGGCACUUCCUCCUUGAUCAGAUGUGGAAGUCAGUGGACACUGAAUUAUUACCCUCCUGGUUUUCAGCUUGCAAUCAAAGCAGAGUGUUACCGCUGUCAUGACCUGACCUCUCAAUCACUGUCUCAGACUCAAGCUGAGCAUAAAUACAGUUUCUCAAAUCACCCUCUCCAAUAAUGGCAAGAUAGUUGAGGUGUGCUACCCUCAAUGAAUCUGUCUGCUGUUAUAAAACUAUGGCUGAUAGCCUUCCAAUAAUCAAAUUAUGACUGCUAGUCUUCCCUAAUUUUAUUUUUAAUU